This 800-nucleotide ribosomal RNA is filed under the name uncultured bacterium. Its description in RNAcentral is "bacterial SSU rRNA". It matches the Rfam family "Bacterial small subunit ribosomal RNA", at positions 100 to 896 of the family's 1533-position model. The record is from RNAcentral.
GCACAGGUGAGUAAUGUAUCGGAACGUACCUUUCAGUGGGGGAUAACUAUCCGAAAGGAUAGCUAAUACCGCAUAUUCUGUGAGCAGGAAAGCAGGGGAUCUUCGGACCUUGCGCUGAUUGAGCGGCCGAUAUCAGAUUAGCUAGUUGGUGAGGUAAAGGCUCACCAAGGCGACGAUCUGUAGCGGGUCUGAGAGGAUGAUCCGCCACGCUGGAACUGAGACACGGUCCAGACUCCUACGGGAGGCAGCAGUGGGGAAUUUUGGACAAUGGGGGCAACCCUGAUCCAGCCAUGCCGCGUGAGUGAAGAAGGCCUUCGGGUUGUAAAGCUCUUUCGGCCGGGAAGAAAUCGCCUAGGUUAAUACCCUGUGCGGAUGACGGUACCGGCAUAAGAAGCACCGGCUAACUACGUGCCAGCAGCCGCGGUAAUACGUAGGGUGCGAGCGUUAAUCGGAAUUACUGGGCGUAAAGCGUGCGCAGGCGGUUUUGUAAGACAGGCGUGAAAUCCCCGGGCUCAACCUGGGAACUGCGCUUGUGACUGCAAGGCUAGAGUACGGCAGAGGGGGGUGGAAUUCCACGUGUAGCAAUGAAAUGCGUAGAGAUGUGGAGGAACACCAAUGGCGAAGGCAGCCCCCUGGGUCGAUACUGACGCUCAUGCACGAAAGCGUGGGUAGCAAACAGGAUUAGAUACCCUGGUAGUCCACGCCCUAAACGAUGUCAACUAGGUGUUGGGUGGGUAAAACCAUUUACUACCGGAGCUAACGCGUGAAGUUGACCGCCUGGGAGUACCGCCGCGAGGUUA